AUCCAACUGAUGAGUUUCAAAUAGAACGAAACGAGCAUUCUGGAU
This 45-nucleotide non-coding RNA is filed under the name Schistosoma mattheei. The record is from RNAcentral. Lineage: Eukaryota; Metazoa; Platyhelminthes; Trematoda; Strigeidida; Schistosomatidae.